AUGCAAGUCUGUCGCUUUUUUUUCAGUCUGUACAAGGUACAGACUAGAACAAUGCGUGGAUGGUGCCUUCUGAAUUCUGAUUCUGUCCGCAGCAGACUUCGUUUAGAUGAACUAUGCACGCUGCUUGAAGAUCAAUAUAAUUCUGUUGUCGUGAGAGGAAAUAUGUCUUGGCAAUUCAUCAACGUGUGGGUUCAGGCAGAAGGAGAGAGAGAAGAAACCACGAAAUGCAGCGGACGAGUAGAUUUUAUUACUAGCUCAUUCACAAAGCAAGAGACCAACAGUUCCCCACGUUUUCACUUGCUAGCUAGCUAG
RNAcentral lists this ribosomal RNA (312 nucleotides) under Triticum aestivum (bread wheat). RNAcentral describes it as "partial small subunit ribosomal RNA". The record is from RNAcentral. Lineage: Eukaryota; Viridiplantae; Streptophyta; Magnoliopsida; Poales; Poaceae.